This 484-nucleotide ribosomal RNA is filed under the name uncultured bacterium. Its description in RNAcentral is "partial 16S ribosomal RNA". It matches the Rfam family "Bacterial small subunit ribosomal RNA", at positions 29 to 507 of the family's 1533-position model. The record is from RNAcentral.
AUUGAACGCUGGCGGCAUGCUUUACACAUGCAAGUCGAACGGCAGCGCGGGCUUCGGCCUGGCGGCGAGUGGCGAACGGGUGAGUAAUACAUCGGAACGUGCCCAGUAGUGGGGGAUAGCUCGGCGAAAGCCGGAUUAAUACCGCAUACGACCUGAGGGUGAAAGCGGGGGAUCUUCGGACCUCGCGCUAUUGGAGCGGCCGAUGGCAGAUUAGCUAGUUGGUGGGGUAAAGGCCUACCAAGGCGACGAUCUGUAGCUGGUCUGAGAGGACGACCAGCCACACUGGGACUGAGACACGGCCCAGACUCCUACGGGAGGCAGCAUUGGGGAAUUUUGGACAAUGGGCGAAAGCCUGAUCCAGCAAUGCCGCGUGUGUGAUGAAGGCCUUCGGGUUGUAAAGCACUUUUGGCGGGAACGAAAAGGACUGUGCCAAUACCACGGUUCGAUGACGGUACCCGCAGAAUAAGCACCGGCUAACUACGUG